Molecule: ribosomal RNA, 381 nt
Filed under: uncultured bacterium
Lineage: Bacteria
Description: bacterial SSU rRNA
Rfam family: Bacterial small subunit ribosomal RNA
Source: RNAcentral
GACGAACGCUGGCGGCGUGCUUAACACAUGCAAGUCAAGGGGGCCCAGCAAUGGGCAACCGGCGAACGGGUGCGUAACACGUGAGCAACCUACCGAACUGUGGGGGAUAGCCGGCCUAACGGCCGAGUAAUACCGCAUACGCUCUCAGGGAGGCAUUUCUUUGAGAGGAAACCUACGGGACAGAUCGAGGGGGCUCGCGGCCUAUCAGCUAGUUGGCGAGGUAACGGCUCACCAAGGCAACGACGGGUAGCUGGUCUGAGAGGACGAUCAGCCACACUGGGACUGAGACACGGCCCAGACUCCUACGGGAGGGCAGCAGUGGGGGAAUCUUGCGCAAUGCGCGAAAGCGUGACGCAGCAACGCCGCGUGGGGAAGAAGGCC